UUAAGUUCAGCGGGUCUUCCUACCUGAUCUGAGGUCAAACUUUCAGAAGUUGGGGUUUAACGGCGUGGCCGAGCCGCGCUCCGGUGCGAGGUUUCAAAAGUUACUACGCAGAGGAGGCUGCGGCAAGACCGCCACUGAAUUUAGGGGGCGGCGACCCGCGACGAGGCGGGUGCCGGUCCCCAACGCCAGGCCCCGGAGGG
RNAcentral lists this unclassified non-coding RNA (200 nucleotides) under Hypomyces sp. RNAcentral's name for it is "partial internal transcribed spacer 2". The record is from RNAcentral. Lineage: Eukaryota; Fungi; Ascomycota; Sordariomycetes; Hypocreales; Hypocreaceae.